This 425-nucleotide transfer-messenger RNA is filed under the name Chlamydia psittaci. RNAcentral describes it as "Chlamydophila psittaci Standard tmRNA". It matches the Rfam family "transfer-messenger RNA". Rfam says of the family: Bacterial tmRNA, also known as 10Sa RNA or SsrA, is named for its dual tRNA and mRNA-like properties. The record is from RNAcentral. Lineage: Bacteria; Pseudomonadati; Chlamydiota; Chlamydiia; Chlamydiales; Chlamydiaceae. RNAcentral also lists the same sequence under 20 other names.
GGGGGUGUAUAGGUUUCGACUUGGGAAUGAAGUGUUAAUCGCAUGCGGAGGGCGUUGGCUGGCCUCCUAAAAAGCCGACAAAACAAUAAAUGCCGAACCUAAGGCUGAAUGCGAAAUUAUCAGUUUCUCUGAACUCUCUGAGCAAAGAUUAGCUGCUUAAUUAGCAAAAGUUGUUAUUUAGAUAACCUCUAGAUAACCCGGUCCUCAUGGACUCUACCAGAGGUUUGUGAAGUACCGUCAUCUAUCUGGUUGGAAUCUACCUCCUCUAAUUCUCAGGGGGGUUGAUUCGAGAUUAUUGAGAGUCGUUGGUUUCCAUAGAUGUUCUUAGCUGAGGAAAUGCAAUGUAGUACCACUAGGGACUAAGCAUGUAGAAGUUAGCAGGGAAUUCACUAAGGACGAGAGUUCGAGUCUCUCCACCUCCAUAC